Molecule: long non-coding RNA, 3109 nt
Organism: Orcinus orca (killer whale)
Lineage: Eukaryota; Metazoa; Chordata; Mammalia; Artiodactyla; Delphinidae
Exons: 2
Source: RefSeq, a predicted model, not a curated record
GAGGACUAGGGUUGGUGGAGUGAACAUAGCAUGAAGGGGUUAGUGCACCACAGCUAGCGGGGAGGGGGGGGGAGUCCGGGAAAAGAUCUGGAGCUCCCGAAGAGGCAAGAGACUUUUACUUCCCUCUUUGUUUCCUGCUGCGCGAGGAGAGGGGAUUAAGAGCGCUGCUUAAAGGAGCUCCAGAGACGGGCGCGAGUCGUGGCUAAAAGCGCGGACCCCAGAGACGGGCAUGAGACGCUAAGGCUGCUGCUGCCGCCACCAAGAAGCCUGUGUGCGAGCACAGGUCACUAUCCACACCCCGCCUCCGGGGAGCCUGUGCAGCCCGCCAGUGCCAGGUUCCCGGGAUCCAGGGACAACUUCCCUGGGAGAACGCACGCCUCAGAAGCAGCGGAUUAAAGCUCCACAAUCAACUUGAUGUACCCUGCAUCUGUGGAAUACAUGAAUAGACAACGAAUCAUCCCAAAUUGAGGAGGUGGACUUUGAGAGCAAGAUUUAUCAUUUUUUCCCCUUUACCUCUUUUUCUGAGCGUGUAUGUGUAUGCUUCUCUGUGAGAUUUUCCCUGUAUAGCUUGCUUCCACCAUUUGUCCUAGGGUUCUAUCCGUCUUUUUAAAAAAUUUUUUUCUUAAUAAUUAUUUUUAUUUUAAUAACUUUAUUUUAUAUUACUUUACCUUCUUUCUUUCUUUCUUUCUUUCUUUCCUUCCUUCCUUCUUUCCUUCCCUCAUUUAGACAUAGAAUCAUCCCAAAUUGAGGAAGUGGACUUUGAGAGCAAGAUUUAUCAUUUUUUCCCCUAUUCCUCUUUUUGUGAGUUUCUAAGUGUAUGCUUCUGUAUGAGAUUUUGUCUGUAUAGCUUUGCUUCCACCAUUUAUCCAAAGGUUCUAUCCGUUCGUUUUUUUCUUAAUUUUUUUUAUAAUAAGUAUUUUUUAAUUUAAUAACUUUAUUUUACUUUAUCUUCUUUCUUUCUUUCCUUUUUCUUCCUUCCCUCCUCCCUUCCUUCCUUCCUUCCUUCCUCCCACCGUCCGUCCCUCCCUCCGUCCUUUCUUUCUUUCUUUCCUUCUUUUCUUCUUUCUUUCUUCCUUCCUUAAAUUAAAUUCAAUAUAGAUAUUUAAAUUUAAGGUAAAAUUAAAUUAUAAUUUGAAAUUAUAUGUGGAGUUUUAUUUCCUAAAGAAUAUUUUGGAAAUUUCAACUCCUAUUUUAACUUAUAUUUUCAGAGAAGGUAUUUGGUCCAAAUGAAGAAUAUCUUCAAUUAUAGUUCUUCUAUUGCAAGCAAAAAAGGAUUUAUACUUCUUUUCAUGAAAUACGGUUGUUUGACAACAGAAGGAUAAAUAUUUUAUAUUUUUAGAAACAACAGUCAGGCUACUGAUAUUCUUAAUGAGUUUUAAUAAAUCUGAAUGCUUCUUAUCAUCUACUCUUUAGCUGGUACCUGAGGAAUUGUAUACCUCCGGGAGGAUAUGUGCUCCAGACCCGUAAAUAUGCAGUUCACAGAGCCCACCACCAGAGGACAAUAAUGAAGUAAAAUCUUGAAACCAUGUAGUGAAAAUAGUGGGAGUUUAAAUAAAAGCAACGUUUCACAGUAUGCUUUUCUGACCAAUGUUAUAUCUAAUACCCUAAUGGAUUAUAUGUACACGGAUUCUGAAAAGUCAGCAGCACACUUCACUGGUCAAUUUCUAUGAUAAGGGGAACGGAAUUUGAGUGUAGAAAAACAGUAUACUUACAUCUUAAAAUUCCACCCCUACAGAAUCUACUCACUAUUGAAAACUGGUAAGAAUAAUAGCUUUCUGUGUCGCAGUGACCAGUUAACAUUUUCAAGAGUAGAAUUUAUCUGCCUAUGAUGCUCAAAUACACAGGAAAAAUGCAUAUCUAGGACAAUGGAUAAACUCUAUAUGACAUGAGAAAAUAGUUAUUCAAAUGGAAAAAGUAUAAGAUCUACAAGGCACAGUUUUAUAUGCAUUAGUGUGGAUAUAUAUACAUAAAGAAGCUCUAAGAAACAUAAAAAUCACUUCCAGGAAGCAAUUUUAGGUAGAAGAGAAUUAACAUGGAUGAGGAAGAAAAGAGAGCUGGUUUUAAAAUAGUUUCAUUGACUUGUUUUUUUUUUGUUUGUUUAUUUAUUUGUUUUAUUUAUUUGGUCUUUGGAAUAUAAGAAAACAGUGGCUUUCAGAUCAGUAUCCCAGUGGAACAAAGGGACCGAGGUCUAUCCUGGAGCCCAGCCAUUGUUUGACUAUCUUGUAAUAAUACUGGUGAAAUACAACCAAAUCAUUUGAACUAUAAGCAUCCUCUCUGACAAUAAACUUAAGACACCAACAUUAUAUAUUAAAGAAAGUAAAGAGAGAAUACUGUUUUCUUUAGAGAGAAAAUACAGAUCCUGGACCAAAUCAAUAAUGUCAGCAAACCUCAUGGGUAUAAAAUAUUCUGCUGUCUAUCAUUUAGAACAUGCCUCUAGAGGAGGGAAACUGGGCGAUAAUUUCCCCAGAUUUUAUAUUUAAUUCAAAUAUUUUAGAUAAGAGGCAUCUCUAGUAAAACAUUGUAUUAUUGAUUCUUUCCAAUAUGAUAGCUCACAGGAGUUCCUCUUUCCUUCUCAAAUACAUAUGGGGAAAUGGAGGUGGGUGUGGGUUAUAGGAAGCAUCUAAAUAGAGCAUAAUAAUCAACAGUUUGUUUUUUAAAAAUAGAAAUUUCUAUUCAAAUUGUUUCCAGAGACAGAAACACACAGAGACAAUUCCAUGUGACAAUAGUGAAAGAGACCAGAGUGAUGCAGCUGCAAAUCAAAAAACUGCCAACACCAGUGAUUGAUGGCCACCACCAGAAUCUGGUUAAGACAAAGAAGGAUCCUCCCCUUGAGGCGUCAGAAAGAACAUGGCCCUCUCAACACUUUGAGUUUGAACUUCUGGCCUCUAGAGCUGUGAUAAAAUAAAUUUCUGUUCUUUUAAGCUAACAAGUUUGUGGUAUCUUGUUAUGGUAGCCCUAGAGAUGACAGUAUUUGAUUCCUGAGCUGGCAACUGUAUUUUGACUAUGUAAUGACUAUUCCAAGAUAAUCAACAGACACAAAGAUAAAGGCAAAACUGAGACUAAGCCCAGUUCUUUUUAUUCCCAGAAUAAUAAAUGAUUUUUUAAUUAA